This 206-nucleotide long non-coding RNA is filed under the name Mytilus galloprovincialis (Mediterranean mussel). Lineage: Eukaryota; Metazoa; Mollusca; Bivalvia; Mytilida; Mytilidae. The record is from RNAcentral.
CUUGGUGUCUGCAGCCUCUUUUUUGAAAGACAGACCCAACGGACUUCUACAUCAAAAAUAAGAAAAUGAAAUAUAAUUUAUCAUUUUAUAUCAAUCAACGAAGAAUCAGGGCUAUUCUUAUGACCAACACUAGGCUUCUUUAUGUGCCAUGAUCUAUAGAAGUAGUUGAAAAAGUAUUGUUCCAUCUUCUCUUGUAUCCCACAACC